Molecule: long non-coding RNA, 2018 nt
Filed under: Elaeis guineensis (African oil palm)
Lineage: Eukaryota; Viridiplantae; Streptophyta; Magnoliopsida; Arecales; Arecaceae
Description: long non-coding RNA (EGUI_LNC000149)
Source: RNAcentral
CCCCCCCCCCGCUUCUCAUCGACCGAUUAAUCGUUCGUUUCGUGGUUCUUUUUUUGAUGGAUUGAUAACUCCUGUUUUUCCUUUAUCUGAUUGAAAGGUUGAUUCAUAGAACUUGUGUUGGCUCUUCUUGGAUGGAAUCUUUGUGAAAUUUCUUCUUUCUUUUCUUCCUCUUCUUCUUCUUGAAUACUUUUUGGUUGUUUCAGUCGCUUGUUCAUGGUUUUUGUCUUUGACGGAGUGCAAUUUCUUUUCUUUAAUGUAUAUGUUUGUUUUGAGUUUGUUUUGUGAUUUUUUUAAAUUCCAUGAUAUUGCCAAAUUAAGCUUUCUCUCAUUUUUCUCGAAUGAUUGAACGAUCUGCCUCUAUUUCGUUCUGUUCUUACGUGAGCGAGCGAGUAGUUUCUGGAGAUCUUCGGUUGGUUUCUUCCUCUUCUUAGUAGUUCUUUUACUUGAUCCAAAAUUUUUAGUGCAUAUUGUUUGUGGUGGGCUAGAAUAUCAAUGAAAUUGUAAAGACCUCUGGAGUCAAAUUUUUUCUGUAAUCUGUGUGGCACUUAUGAUAAAUUUAACCUCAUAGUGGAACCGAAAGAUUCUUCUUGGUCAAAGGUACAAGACGAGGGGAUCUACAGAAUUCUGAUGAAAUCAGUAAACUGGUUGGACGCAGAUUACAUAUAGACAUUUUUCAGUGCUUAGUCCACCCCCACACCCCCCCCCCAACAAAAAACAUUAGAGUAGGAUACUUCAUUCUUGUUUGUGCCAGUGCUUGUGUCAUGGUGCUUUGUAUUUAGAGGAUAGACUGCUAAAAGGGCCUCUCCCAUUGGGUUCUUGGCCCAAGGGAAAAACCCACAGUGGGAGAAGAGGCCCUGAACCAAAUUUUUCGAGGUGUUCAUACACAAAUAGGAUUCACCUAUCCUAGGGUUUUGGGGACUACAUCUUUUGUGUAUUGGGGCUUUUUGAGAGCUUGAGAGAUUUGAGGGCUUUUAUAUUGGGGUUUUCUCUUAUUCUCUUGAUACUUUCUCCAUCAUUAGUGAGGUUUUCUCGAUUGUCUCCCCCUAUGGAUGUUGGCCGUAGGCUGAACCACAUAAAUCUUUUCUCCUCCGUCUCCCUCUCUCUCUGCUUUGCUAUCUCUGGAUCUAACCUAUUUACACAACAUCAUGGGUCUCCUUUGUGCCGGAGGCAAAUACUUUCAUCCAAUCACUUUUGGCUGACCAUGGUGAGGUGAGGUUGUAGUAGUCCAUUUUUAAACCUGUUGCGGAUGUCUAGGUUGGCUUUGUGCUACAAUGUCUGGUGGAUGAAGGGAUCAGAUGGAAGAAAGGUGCAAGAAGCCUUUUGUUGAACAAAUAAGGAUUCCAAGAAUAAGAAAAGAGAAGGGCACCUUGGGACCCUAGGUGGUGCCUCCACAUGCAUUAUAUUUAUGAGAUAAAAUCAGAAGAGAAUUGAAAAUAAGAUAAGUUGAACCAUGGAACAGAUGUAUUAAAUAAAGAAAUUCACCUUGUUUAAGAGAAAUUUGGCUAUAUUGGGAGUUUGAGGAGGAAGAAGAGUAGAGAUAAGAGAAGAAGAGGCUGGGACCUGAAAUGUAAUCAAUCAUUUAACUCGGACAUGCAUGUAAAAAUGCACAUAAAGAGUGGGUGAGAGAUUAUUUAAUAUAAGGAUGAUAUGUUUUAUGAUUCAAGGUGAUGGAUAGGCACCGUUGGAUGUGUUGGGCUCCUUACCAUGAGAUAAGCAUCUUGGGAUGGCUUUUCUUGGGUAGAUGGUUUGGAGGUGGUAGACAAAACGUGGGAACACACUUCAUUAUCACAUGUGUUCAUUAAGACUGAGUUAGGUUGAUAUCAUUGUCGAUGUCUUUUUUUCAUAUUGAUUGGAUGUGCAACAGCUUGUGCAUCUCACAUCUGUUAUUCAGUGGGUGUCUAGCAAGAAAAUUUUAUUUUCUGACAGUACUUCAGUUGAUAAUGAAAUUCUUGUUUAGACUGACCAUGAAUUUGCAACUGAAUUCACAUCUACAAGAUUAGAAAGAUUUUAUGCCUGCA